UACGUCGGGGGCAAGCGUUGUCCGGAUUUAUUGGGCGUAAAGAGCGUGUAGGCGGUCAGGUAGGUCCGUUGUGAAAACUCGAGGCUCAACCUCGAGACGCCGAUGGAAACCAUCUGACUAGAGUCCGGAAGAGGAGAGUGGAAUUCCUGGUGUAGCGGUGAAAUGCGCAGAUAUCAGGAAGAACACCCGUGGCUAAGGCGGCUCUCUAGUACGGUACUGACGCUGAGACGCGAAAGCGUGGGGAGCGAACAGG
This 253-nucleotide ribosomal RNA is filed under the name uncultured bacterium. Its description in RNAcentral is "partial 16S ribosomal RNA". It matches the Rfam family "Bacterial small subunit ribosomal RNA", at positions 524 to 776 of the family's 1533-position model. The record is from RNAcentral.